RNAcentral lists this small RNA (527 nucleotides) under Pongo abelii (Sumatran orangutan). RNAcentral describes it as "processed transcript". Lineage: Eukaryota; Metazoa; Chordata; Mammalia; Primates; Hominidae. The record is from RNAcentral.
AUCUGUGUCACCCAGAGGUGGUUUUAGGUUUUAAAUUCUGUAUUAACGGUUGUUUUCUUUCCAGACUGCAAAAUUCAAAAUGGGGCUCAAGGUAUUCGUUUCAUCUACACCAGAGAAGGCAGACCAAGUGGCGAGGCUUUUGUUGAACUUGAAUCAGAAGAUGAAGUCAAAUUGGCCCUGAAAAAAGACAGAGAAACUAUGGGACACAGAUAUGUUGAAGUAUUCAAGUCAAACAACGUUGAAAUGGAUUGGGUGUUGAAGCAUACUGGUCCAAAUAGUCCUGACACGGCCAAUGAUGGCUUUGUACGGCUUAGAGGACUUCCCUUUGGAUGUAGCAAGGAAGAAAUUGUUCAGUUCUUCUCAGGUAUAUUGAAAUCUUUAAGAGCAGUAGAGCUGAAGUUAGAACUCACUAUGAUCCACCACGAAAGCUUAUGGCCAUGCAGCGGCCAGGUCCCUAUGACAGACCUGGGGCUGGCAGAGGGUAUAACAGCAUUGGCAGAGGAGCUGGCUUUGAGAGGAUGAGGCGU